Molecule: long non-coding RNA, 227 nt
Filed under: Olea europaea subsp. europaea
Lineage: Eukaryota; Viridiplantae; Streptophyta; Magnoliopsida; Lamiales; Oleaceae
Source: RNAcentral
CUUGUAAAAAAACGUGAUUCUUUGGGUUUUGAAAACAUUUCACAAUCUUCACCUUGUUUUCACAAACCCCUAGCUCUCUCUAGUUGCUAAAAUGCAUGUGACAGUAAUAUUUUUGCCCUACAUCAUCGCCCUUAGUACCUGCAAAAGAAAUUAGCCCGUAUCAAUAUGUAGUAAAGAUAAACAAGACUUAAAUUUACCUACAUUCAGAAUUUUGGUUCCCAUAUCAG